Molecule: unclassified non-coding RNA, 345 nt
Filed under: soil metagenome
Description: partial contains 5.8S ribosomal RNA, internal transcribed spacer 2, and large subunit ribosomal RNA
Rfam family: 5.8S ribosomal RNA (bases 1-119)
Source: RNAcentral
GAUGAAGAACGUAGUGAAAUGCGAUACGUAAUGUGAAUUGCAAAUUCAGUGAAUCAUCGAGUCUUUGAACGCACAUUGCGCCCCCUGGUAUUCCGGGGGGCAUGCCUGUCCGAGCGUCAUUGCUGCCCUCAAGCACGGCUUGUGUGUUGGGCCCCGUCCUCCGAUCCCGGGGGACGGGCCCGAAAGGCAGCGGCGGCACCGCGUCCGGUCCUCGAGCGUAUGGGGCUUUGUCCCCCGCUCUGUAGGCCCGGCCGGCGCUUGCCGAUCAACCCAAAUUUUUAUCCAGGUUGACCUCGGAUCAGGUAGGGAUACCCGCUGAACUUAAGCAUCUCAAUAAGCGGAGGA